Molecule: ribosomal RNA, 723 nt
Filed under: uncultured bacterium
Lineage: Bacteria
Also listed under: 1 other name
Description: bacterial SSU rRNA
Rfam family: Bacterial small subunit ribosomal RNA
Source: RNAcentral
ACUCCUACGGGUGGCAGCAGUGAGGAAUAUUGCACAAUGGGGGAAACCCUGAUGCAGCAACGCCGCGUGGAGGAUGACGGCCUUAUAGGUUGUAAACUCCUUUUCUGAGGGAAGAGAAAGGACGGUACCUCAGGAAUAAGUCACGGCUAACUACGUGCCAGCAGCCGCGGUAAUACGUAGGUGACGAACGUUAUCCGGAAUUACUGGGCGUAAAGGGCACGCAGGCGGUUGGUCAAGUCCGACGUGAAAUUUCUCGGCUUAACUGGGAGGCGUCGUUUGGAAACUAACUAACUUGAGGCAAUGAGAGGGGUGUAGAAUUCAUGGUGUAGUGGUGGAAUGCGUAGAUAUCAUGAGGAAUACCAGUGGCGAAAGCGGCACCCUGGCAUUGGCCUGACGCUCAUGUGCGAAAGCGUGGGUAGCGAACGGGAUUAGAUACCCCGGUAGUCCACGCUGUAAACGAUGAACACUAGGUGUAGGUGAAUUAAAUUUAUCUGUGCCGUAGCAAACGCGAUAAGUGUUCCGCCUGGGGACUACGGCCGCAAGGCUAAAACUCAAAGGAAUUGACGGGGACCCGCACAAGCAGCGGAGCGUGUGGUUUAAUUCGAUGCAACGCGAAGAACCUUACCUGGGCUUGACAUAAGCGUAGUAGUGAACCGAAAGGGGAACGAGCCUCGGCAGCGCUUACAGGUGCUGCAUGGCUGUCGUCAGCUCGUGUCGUGAGAU